AUUGAACGCUGUCGGCAGGCCUAACACAUGCAAGUCGAACGAGUGGCGGACGGGUGAGUAAGGUCUGGGCAACUGAAUGAUGGAGGAGGAUAACUACUGGAAACGGUAGAUAAUAACGCAUACCAUCAGAUGUGCCCAGAUGGGAUUAGCUAGGUGGUUGGGUAACGGCUCACAAAGGCGACGAUCAUUAGAUGGGCUGAGAGGAUGACCAUCCACACUGGACCUGAGACACGUUCCAGACUCCUACGGGAGGCAGCAGUGGGGAAUAUUGCACAAUGGGCGCAAUCCUGAUGCAUCCAUGCCGCGUGUAUGAAGAAGUCCUUCGGGUUGUAAAGUACGUUCAGCUGGGAGGCGUGACCCGCAGAAGAAGCACCGGCUAACUCCGUGCCAGCAGCCGCGGUAAUAC
RNAcentral lists this ribosomal RNA (406 nucleotides) under uncultured bacterium. RNAcentral's name for it is "partial 16S ribosomal RNA". It matches the Rfam family "Bacterial small subunit ribosomal RNA", at positions 30 to 526 of the family's 1533-position model. The record is from RNAcentral.